Molecule: unclassified non-coding RNA, 2512 nt
Filed under: Haliotis rufescens (red abalone)
Lineage: Eukaryota; Metazoa; Mollusca; Gastropoda; Lepetellida; Haliotidae
Description: carbohydrate sulfotransferase 11-like, transcript variant X1
Source: RNAcentral
CAAUCAAAACACCUCACUGACAUUACAUCACCCGUUGUCUUCCAGACAAUGCUAAAUGGCAAGCCAAGCCACCACAUGACCGCGUUACUCCACUCGACCAUACAGAGUGAGUAGAGUGAGUUGCGGGGUGUGAUCAGCCAGUAGCGACGGCUACCCGUUUAAGCCAGGCGCAUUUGAAGACCUGAUAGACGAGCGUUUUAAAACGUGGAGGUCACAGCGAUCACGAGCACCUGAGUUGGACAAGGAGAGAUCAUUCGUACAUAUUUCGAUAUGUUGUGGAUUUGAGAGGGUUAGAAUGAAAGCAUCAAGGUAGGAAUAACAAACAAGUCAGCUCUCAUCUUGAGUCUAGGUUCUGUUCUGCCUGUCAAGAUGAAGGCGAGGCUGAUGGGCCGGGUUAAGAGCGCUCUCAUCGUAGUGGGCGUGGUCUCUGUGCUUCUGCCAACGAGUCUGAUCCUCACCUCCAACAUCCGCGCUGAUACCUCGAGUGACACAAUACAACGGGUCUUUGUUGAGGCGACUCGACUGAAGAAACUGUUAUCUGUAGCUGAGGCGGACUCAAGGCAACACGACAACCGCAGGGCAGUGAGGUACCGUAAUCGCCAAGAAUUCUGUGCAGCUAAAGGAAACACCGUCAUCACGCCCGAGAUGUUUAAGCAUAUCAUUGUCAACGACAAAUAUAAGAUUUUGUAUUGCCAAGUACCAAAGGUCGCCUGCACAAACUGGAGACGGGUCAUGUUGAUCCUCACGGGGAAGAUGAACACAUCGGAGCCAAUGGAGCUGAAGGCCUCAGCAGUCCACGGUGCUUAUGAUGACUAUUUGACUUACCUCAGUGACCUCCCAAUUAAUGACAUCAAAUAUAGGCUGAAAAACUAUUACAAGUUUGUGUUCACUCGUGAACCCUUUGAGAGAAUAUUAUCAGCUUACAGGAACAAGUUUAAAGGGAACAAUCCUUUCUUUCACAAACGCUACGGGAAGAACAUCGUCAGAAGGUACCGAGUGAAUUCCUGGAACACAAAGCCAGAUGGUAAAGACGUGUCAUUUAAUGAAUAUGUUCAUUAUCUAACCGACUAUACACGCAGGGAACCUCUUAAUGAACACUGGGAGAAAAUGACAGAGCUUUGUCAUCCUUGCCUUAUAAAGUAUGACCUUGUAAGCUCCUAUGAUGACCUAGAGACGGACUCGGUGCGUCUUCUUGACAAGAUUGGAGCGUCAAGGAUCCUCCAAUUCCCGAAACGAUCGGCGUCAUACAAGCACGCAGGAACUGAGGAGCUUCUCCGUCAGUACUACAGCCAGAUCCCACCAGUCAUGUUGGAUCAGCUCAUGGAAGUGUAUUAUCCAGACUUUCUCAUGUUCAGGUACAAGGUUCCAAACAGUCUCCGGAAUCUCACACACUGGCAAGUCAAGCUAUGAGACAAUAGGCACUGUUCACAACAGUCUUUGUCAUUCGUGAAGGUGUAUUGCAAUGAACAUCCUUCCUUAUGGUGUAUUACAAUGGAUACCGUUCGUGAAGGUGUAUUACAAUGGGUACCGUUCGUGAAGGUGUAUUACGAUGGGUACUGUUCGUGAAUGUGUAUUGAAGUUGGUACACUACUUGAAGGUGUAUUACAAUGGGUACCCUUCGUGAAGGUGUAUUACAAUGGGUACCGUUCGAGAAGGUGUAUUGUAUUAGGUACCGUUCGUAAAGGUGUAUUGCAUUGGGUACCCUUCGUGAAGGUGUAUUACAAUGGAUACCCUACGUGGAUAUGUAUUACAUUUGGCACCCUUCCCGGAUGUAUAUUAUGAUGAUUACCAUUACCAGUGUGGGGUACCGUUCGUGAAGCAACUGGCCCUUCUAACUGGCCUACAACCCUUCGUGAAGAUAUAUUUCAAUGGCUACCGUUCGUGAAGGUGUAUUGUACUGGGUACCGUUCGUGAAGAUGUAUUACAGUUGAUACCUUUCGUGAAGGUGCAUUACGAUGGAGGUGUACCAGUAACUGGUGGAGAUGUAUUACUAAAUAAUAUGGAGGUAUAUUAAAUCCGGUGCCAACAGGGCCACGGACAGGUCUGGGAAAUAUUAUCGCUACUUGCAUGUUUGUGAUGGCUGUCUUGAUAUGUCAAAUUCGAUCAUAACAGCCGUGGGUUGUAUUGACUUCAUGUUAAGGUUUGAUCUAACCGGCCAUGAAUUGCAUUGCAAUUGUGAAUGGACUUAUUUGAUCAUGCUAGUUUUGACUUAUUUUUUAAUGCAAAUUGUACGAGUGACGGGUGCUACCGAUAGGGCAGGACAAACUUACCCUUUUCGCGAGCACCCGGUGUCAUCACUUGUUUUUCUCUUGCAUUGACGUUAUAUAUUUAUAUUGUAUUAUCGACUUUUGCAUGGUUUAGUCAUUCCAAUCACAAGGUGUAUUGCAAUUACCUUUAUUUGAACGGGGUUUUUUCAUCACAUCAUACAUGAUCUGAAUUCCAACGAUAUUCCAUUUUGUCUGAAUAUCAAUGGGACUUGCAAAAGUAAUAAAUUGAUACUUUUGCCAAUGAA